Pseudomyrmex gracilis is the source of this 385-nucleotide long non-coding RNA. RefSeq lists it as uncharacterized. The transcript is spliced from 3 exons. The record is from RefSeq and is a predicted model, not a curated record. NCBI's taxonomy places the organism in Eukaryota, Metazoa, Arthropoda, Insecta, Hymenoptera, Formicidae.
CAUUUCCAACACCAUUUUUAAAUCAUUUUUACGCGUGUAAUCGUAUUUAAAAACGGUUAUAGGUACUUUCGUCAUCUUAUCUUCAUACUAAAAAAAAAAAAAAGACAGUUGUGUGAAAAUAUAUUGCAGGAUCAUAUAUGAUGACAUCUCAUUUUGCGAUUCGGAGGCGUCCAGACAAAUGGAAACUUUUUACUUUCCUUAUCAGGCACUUCAAAAGCAGGACAAUGUUUUCCGGCAAAACUACAGAAUGCUCACCAUGCCUGUGCACGGACCGCUCCAGUCCGAGUAGACGUCCACUACUACGUAAGCAAGAAUAUUGAACGUAUUUCGUUGUACAAUGCUUUAAUUAGAUGACAACAAUUUAUUAAAUAUUUCCGCAACGCUA